UCCCUGGUGGCUCAUACUGUAAAAGCACUUGUUUGCAAUGCAGGAGACCCAGGUUCGAUCCCUGGGUUGGGAA
Molecule: transfer RNA, 73 nt
Organism: Ovis aries (sheep)
Lineage: Eukaryota; Metazoa; Chordata; Mammalia; Artiodactyla; Bovidae
Rfam family: tRNA
About the family: Transfer RNA (tRNA) molecules are approximately 80 nucleotides in length. Their secondary structure includes four short double-helical elements and three loops (D, anti-codon, and T loops).
Source: Rfam